AAGAGUUAAAUAGAGAUUAGCUGCUAACUAAAUCUCAGAGCUAUUAAAUUAAGUUCAACUCUUA
RNAcentral lists this transfer RNA (64 nucleotides) under Stictocephala bisonia. RNAcentral describes it as "tRNA-Ser". The record is from RNAcentral. Lineage: Eukaryota; Metazoa; Arthropoda; Insecta; Hemiptera; Membracidae.